GUAAGGAAUAUUGGACAAUGGGCGCAAGCCUGAUCCAGUCAUGCCGCGUGCAGGAAGACGCAUCUAUGGUGUGUAAACUGCUUUUGUACGGGAAGAAACACUCCCUCGUGAGGGAGCUUGACGGUACCGUAAGAAUAAGGAUCGGCUAACUCCGUGCCAGCAGCCGCGGUAAUACGGAGGAUCCAAGCGUUAUCCGGAAUCAUUGGGUUUAAAGGGUCCGUAGGCGGUUUAAUAAGUCAGUGGUGAAAGCCCAUCGCUCAACGAUGGAACGGCCAUUGAUACUGUUAGACUUGAAUUACAAGGAAGUAACUAGAAUAUGUAGUGUAGCGGUGAAAUGCUUAGAUAUUACAUGGAAUACCAAUUGCGAAGGCAGGUUACUACUUGUGGAUUGACGCUGAUGGACGAAAGCGUGGGGAGCAAACAGGAUUAGAUACCCCUGUAGUCC
This 445-nucleotide ribosomal RNA is filed under the name uncultured bacterium. RNAcentral describes it as "partial 16S ribosomal RNA". It matches the Rfam family "Bacterial small subunit ribosomal RNA", at positions 354 to 796 of the family's 1533-position model. The record is from RNAcentral.